This 317-nucleotide long non-coding RNA is filed under the name Mus spretus (western wild mouse). RNAcentral's name for it is "lncRNA (ENSMSPG00010012721.1)". Lineage: Eukaryota; Metazoa; Chordata; Mammalia; Rodentia; Muridae. The record is from RNAcentral.
GUUUUCAAAUGCAAAGGCAAAUGGAAGAUCAAGAUGAAAUGAAAACGCUCAAACAAGCCUUGUGUUAAUACAAUAAAAGGGUGCUGAUGAAGAUGAAGACGAUCUUGGAGGCUGAAUAAAAAAUUUGGAAGGGGCAGAUGGAUCCACUGAAACAUUAUGGUUCCCUCAGCUCCUCCAGCCCUAGGCCAUCAAUGGAGAUGGGCAUGAAGACAGCGGAAGUCACCAGAAAGACAGCAAACCUCCAGCUAACAGCUAAUCCUGUCUCUAAUUAAUUAAUUAAUUAAUUAAAAGUAAAUAAAUAAGAAGGAGUGGAUGUC